RNAcentral lists this long non-coding RNA (1020 nucleotides) under Rattus norvegicus (Norway rat). RNAcentral describes it as "long non-coding RNA NONRATT024290". The record is from RNAcentral. Lineage: Eukaryota; Metazoa; Chordata; Mammalia; Rodentia; Muridae.
UUUUCAUUGCCAUAGCUGAGUAACGAAAGAGGCUUUGAGAAUGUAGAACUGGGAGUCAUGGGGAAAAAGAAGAAAGUCCCAAGGAGGGUCAUCCACUUCGUCAGCGGAGAGACCAUGGAGGAGUACAGCACCGAUGAGGAUGAGGUCGACGGCCUGGACAAGAAAGAUGUGCUGCCCACUGUCGACCCGGUAUGUUUGACGCUGAUGGCUGGGCCUGCUUGGGUUUGCUCCUUGAACACUGAAUGGAAGGAACUGUUUGAAGUUUAAACCAACUACCAUCCAUUAUGAUCUGGAAGAAAACAUUAUUUUUACACAAUGCGUGUGGAAAUAUUCCCAACGUUUCAGCAGCCUGAACCAGUUCUGCUCCUUUGUACUGUGAAUUUAUGUGUGGCUCUAGUAAAUCCAUAUUUCAAUCUGUCCCUUUCAGUUCACAGACUGAGUGUUCUUCGAGGUAGCAAAGUCCAUUUAUCCCGUGUUUACAGUGGGUACCUCAGAGGCUCUGGGUAGGUGCUGGUCAUGGGGCAGUGGCUUGUAUAAACUAUAUGGGGAUAUAGUCCAUGAACAAAUAAAUGUCCUAUAGUUAAGACGGCUCUCAAAAGUGCUAUAAAUAAAACCAGAAACAGAUUAGAGAAUUUAAAAAUUAUUUUUAAUUUAAGAUGUUAAUUUUUAUAAGGUUUAGAUGAGUAAAUUUUUAGCUAUUGAAAAAAGAAAUUCAUGCUUGCCUAGGAAGCGCAAGGCCCUGGGUUCGGUCCCCAACCCUGAAAAAAAGAAAAGAAAAGAAAAAAAAAAGAAAUUCAAAAAAAUAAAAAAGAAAGAAAUUCCAUGUGGAGCUCAGUGACUUACGCCUUUAAUCCCAGCACUCAAGAGGCAGAAAUCGAUGAAUCUCUGUGAGUUGAGGCCAACUUGGUCUACAAGGCAAGUUCCAGGACACCCAGGGCUGUUCCAUAGAGAAACCAAGUCUCAGAACUGUGCCAGCCUCUAAAAAAUAAAAGCUAUUGCACAUUCUGUAGUACAGAAAAU